GGAAGCAAAAGUCGUAACAAGGUUUCCGUAGGUGAACCUGCGGAAGGAUCAUUAAAGAGUAAGGGUCUUCGGGCCCGAUCUCCAACCCUUUGUUUAACUACCAUGUUGCUUUGGCGGGCCCGUCUCACGACCGCCGGAAGUUUGGCUUCGACCAAACUUCUGGCCCGUGCCCGUCAGUGGCCCCUUCAAAUUCUUGAUCAAGUAUGAUGUCUUAGUUAAAAACUUAAUAGUUAAAACUUUCAACAACGGAUCUCUUGGUUCUG
RNAcentral lists this unclassified non-coding RNA (263 nucleotides) under plant metagenome. Its description in RNAcentral is "partial contains small subunit ribosomal RNA, internal transcribed spacer 1, and 5.8S ribosomal RNA". The stretch from base 1 to 54 matches the Rfam family "Eukaryotic small subunit ribosomal RNA", at positions 1778 to 1831 of the family's 1831-position model. The record is from RNAcentral.